RNAcentral lists this ribosomal RNA (406 nucleotides) under uncultured bacterium. Its description in RNAcentral is "partial 16S ribosomal RNA". It matches the Rfam family "Bacterial small subunit ribosomal RNA", at positions 30 to 526 of the family's 1533-position model. The record is from RNAcentral.
AUUGAACGCUGGCGGCAGGCCUAACACAUGCAAGUCGAACGAGGGGCGGACGGGUGAGUAAUGUCUGGGACACUGCUUGCUGGGGGGGGAUCACUACUGGACACGGUAUCUAAUACCGCAUACCAUCAGAUGUGCCCAGAUGGGUUUAGCUUGUUGGUGGGGUAACGGCUCACCAAGGCGACGAUCCCUAGCUGGUCUGAGAGGAUGACCAGCCACACGGGAACUGAGACACGGUCCAGACUCCUACGGGAGGCAGCAGUGGGGAAUAUUGCACAAUGGGAGCAAGCCUGAUGCAGCCAUGCCGCGUGUAUGAAGAAGGCCUUCGGGUUGUAAAGUACUUUCAGCGGGGAGGCGUUACCCGCAGAAGAAGCACCGGCUAACUCCGUGCCAGCAGCCGCGGUAAUUC